RNAcentral lists this long non-coding RNA (5346 nucleotides) under Ovis aries (sheep). Its description in RNAcentral is "lncRNA (ENSOARG00000026101.1)". Lineage: Eukaryota; Metazoa; Chordata; Mammalia; Artiodactyla; Bovidae. The record is from RNAcentral.
AUGCUCAUCAUUCUUCUCCCCUCGGAGAGACAGCUCGAGGGCCCGCGGGAGCUGCGGCCAUGCGUCCGGGUGACGGCGCGCGUCCCGCCACAAGGCCUGGAGGUCGCCCUGCUGGGCCCCGGUGCGCCCCCAGCCGUGGUUGCGGGUUCCAAGGCCUGUCCUCUGCCCCGAGCCUGGCCAAGGAUGCUUCGGGCUCAGUCCGGGCAGCGCCACCCGGCGCCUUCAGAGCACGCUGCGCCACGAACUGGGGACAGACAGUCCCAGGGGUGCGGCGUUGAAGCACAGGACGUUGUUGAGUGCGGAGCUAAAUUUCCUGCUGGAAAGUGCCGCGCUGUCUGCAGCGACGAGAAACAAUGUUUGACACGCAUGUGAAGCCGCGCUCCUGUGCCCCGCAUCGCCGCUCUGCCACCCGGACAGAUGCGGGUGGCUCGCGGGACUGGACUUCGCCAAAGCCCCAGCCGCCGGUUCUGGGGGCACCCUCUCUCCCCUCUGCCCGCCGCGCCCUCCAGCCCGCGUUCCUCCCAGAGAGCACACGAGCACUGCACAACGUUCGCUCAGACUCUCCCGCAACUGGUCCUGCGAUUGGAAAUCUGCAGCGUAUUCAAAUAGCUACAUAAUAAAUUAAGUAAUAAUUCCUGGACUUUCCGUCUUUUCUAUUUUCUACUACAGACGCAAGAAAUCUCAGAAGGGGUCUGAGAGCCCAAGUCUCCAGGUAGAGUGGAGAGGGAUGCCUGAUUUUGGAGUCUGGAGCCUCCAGCUCUGUGUCGCUUAUAAUCAAAGACAAGCCUGUUUUCUCAUUUGUACGUGACCAUCAUAAUAUCUGUUUCACAAGGUUGGCGUUUCAUGAUCCAUGCCUUUUUACAGCUCUUGCCCUCAAUGAGCAUGCCCAAGGCACCCCAUUCCCUCCCUCGUUCUCUGCCUGAAAAAGUAAUUCAGGGCCCAUCUCAUAUGUUACCUCCUCUGGAAAAAUACCCCCCACUUCUCAAGACUGGGGUUGGUGUUCCUAUCUUAGGGGUUUCUUUACCUAAUUACUGUCUUCUCUGUGUUAGUGUCACCCACUGAACAAUUCAUCUUGUAUCACCAAGACCAGCAUAGCACCUGGCACAAUGUAGGUUCUCAGUACAUGUCAUGAAUAAAUUAAUGCAUUAAAGUUUGGAUCAUUGUAUAAUGUGUGUAAGACUCGAGAACUUGGUGGGACUUCAGAAUCUUCACUAGUUCUACUGAAUUUGUCUUUCUCCUUAAAUCCAUCUCUCCUUCCUUUGUAGUUUUGAUUUUUCAGCAAUGGCAUUUAGCCCAGCUCCCAUUUUGCUCUCAUCUCUCUCUUUUCACUCCCCUUCUCCUGAUCUCAGACUGUAAAGGGCUUCCGUAGAAGGAAGCACACCCCAGCUGUCAAUCACAAAGUGGGGCUUUGGUCAGGAAUAGUCCAGGGUUUAGUUUCCAACAUUAAUGAAGUGGCUGGAACAGCAAACAUCUGCCAAAGAGCCUCAAACCUUUUCCAGCUGCUGGAGACCCACAGACACUUCCCAGCCUCCUGUGACGAGGUGCCCCGGCAGUGUCUGCCCCUCUACCGGGAGGAACACACACGGAGAGAAACAGACCCGUCUGUACCCAGCCAUUCUUGCUCAGACAGGCAGGAAAGGGGAUAAAAAUGCACACCCCCAGGAGGCUUCAGGAGCUCAGCUCCCCUCCCCCAUCUGGCGUCUCAUUCCUGGGGAUAGGGCCAGCCAGAAAGAAGGGGCAAAGACACCUGUGUAAAGUUUAAGGUUUUGACAACUAGAAACCAAAGACCUGCUCUUUCCCAUUUCAUCUGACACCCAGUGUCUCUACUCAACUAGAAUAGAUGAAAAUUUAAUAAAACAAAAUGGUAUUUAAAAAUCCUAGGGUGGCACUUUAAUUGCCUCUAGGAGCUAACCCUAGGUAAAUGAGCUCAGCUUCAUUUUUUGUGUAACUAUCAUUUUAUAACCUUGGGCAAUGUGUCAAGGUAGAUACAGAAGUGGCCAGUGCAUAAAUAAGUCUUCUGAGUAAACGAAUUCAUUCCCCAUCAUCUUUUCUCCAAGUAGGAGGGGAGCGAAAGCACUCCUUACACUCCAGUAAAGUGUGUUUAAUAACUUGUAUUUCAGUCGCUAAGUUUUGAAAUAGUUUCAGACAUGUAAAAGCAAAAUAGGGAAAGCCUUGUAAGUUAAUAUUCCCCUGGGCUCCAGGGCCAUGCCAAAACUGCUGCCUGCAGAGCCCGGCCCAGCAGUCUUGCACAAGAAGUCAAAGGAGGCAGACAAGAAAGCCAGCUUAUUUUUAAUGAUGAUAUUAAUUUACAAAAACUGCUCUCAUACUCUGUAAAGCAUCUUUUUAAGAGAGGGUACAAAUGCAGUGCACUUGACAAAUGGGCUUGGAAAUGUCUGAAUAGGUCCUUCUUUCUGGAAACAUCUUUCUGGUGGAAAAGUUUUUAAACUGGAAAAAAAAAAAGACGAUUGCUGUGUCUACAGGGCACCUAACAUUUAUGUGAAAAGUGAAAAUGCAGUGAAUCAUCCAAAUGUUUCCAAAUUUUUAGGAGCUUGGUAUAUGGAUUUAAAAAUUAAAACACACACACAUAUUUGUUUUGAGGACCUACUGUAUAGCACAGGGAACUCUGCUGAAUGUUAUGUGGGAGCCUGGAUGGGAAGGAAGUUUGGGGGAGAAUGGAUACACAUAUGUGUAUGGCUGGGUCCGUAUGCUGUCCACCUGAAACAAUCACAACAUUGUGAAUCAGCUAUACUUCAGUAUAAAAUAAAAAGUUCAAAAAACAUUUGUUUUGUUGAUUAUUUCCUUUUUAAAAUUGCUCUAUCCUAACAUUAAACAGUCUUCUUUUUCUAUUUUUUUUAACUUUUUAUUUUAUAUUGGAGUAUAUCCACCUAGCAAUGUUGUUAUAAUUUUAGGUGGACAGCAAAGGGACCCAGUCAUACAUUUACGUUUAUCCAUUCUCCCCCAACCUUCCCUUCCAUCCAGGCUAAAUAGUCUUGUUUCUGCCUAUUUUUCUCAAUUAUCCCAUUGGAUAUAGCCAGGAAAAUAAAAUUUAAGCACUCCUAUGUUUUUCAUAAUGUUGUAGAAAUGGAUUUUGAUGUUUGGGACACCACUGGUUUUGAUUUGUUCUUUUUUUGUAAAUGAUAUCCCUCACUGAUGAGGAAGCUGCCACAAGAGAGGAGAAUCAUUUUCAAUAUGUCAGAGAGCAGUGCUCUGAGCCUGGGGUAAAUGGAAAGAACUUUUGAGUCAGGCAAAUGUGUGUUCCAUUGACAGCCCAAUCAGUUAGUAAUCUCCCUGACCUCUGGUCUUCACUCACAACAUGGGAUGAUGAUAGCCAGCUCGGGUUUGCUGGAGGGUUCCAUGGAGGACUGUAUGCACUGUACCAAUUUAUGAGAAGCCGGUGUUCCCACUGCCUUUACUCUGAGUUCAAUAAAAUAAGCUAUUCACUUUAAAAACCAUCACACAUACAACUGCAUUUUUCAAAAAGCAUCUGAGCCACUGCUGUUUCAUGUGUGGGGGGAGUUGGUUGGUUUUUUGUUCAAUGUUCAGAACCUAGGAAGCAAUUUGCUUUCAAAAACCAUCACAGGGCUUCCCUGGAAGCUCAGUGAGUGGUAAAGAAUUCUCCUGCUGAUAUAGGAGAUGUGGUUUUGAUCCCUGAUCUGGGAAGAUCCCACAGGCCUUGGGGCAACUAAGUCCAUGUGCCAUAAAUAUUGAACCUGUGCUCUAGAGCCUGGGAGUUGCAACUACUGAAGCCCAUGCACCCUACAGCUUGUGGCUGGCAAAAGAGAAGCCACUGCAAUGAGCAGCCUGCUCACCUCAGUAAAGAGUAGCCCCCACUCACUGCAACUAGAUUAAAGCUGUUGUGUAUCAGUGAAGACCCAAUGCAACCAAAAAUAAAUAAAUGAACUAAUAUAUAUAUAUUUAUAUAUUUUAAAAAAUCACAAAAGGAUUUUCCUGGCAGUCCAGUGGUUAAGACUCCAAGCUUCCAAUGCAGGGGAAGUGCAAGUUAGAUCCCUAGUCAGGGAACUAAGAUCCCACAUGCCUUGUGAAGUAGCCAGAAAAAAACAUUUUUUUUAAUAGAUAAACAACAAGGAUUAGGCUAAAAAACCAUCACAAAAUACAACUGCAUAUUUUAAAAAGAGUCAGAGCCACUGCAGUUUCAUAUACGUCUGGUUUGGGCUUUUGUUCAAUGUUCAGAACCUAGGAUCAACCAAGAAAUGAAGAGGGGAGGAACCGGUCUAAGAGCAAGGGACUAUCAUUAACUGAGGGGAAUGGCGCUGGCCACCAAGCGUCCCUGAGUGCUACUCAACAUCUGGCACCUGCAGCCCAGACUCAGCACAUCUGUAUGUGUCAAUCAUCCUAACCACCACUUCACAAGAGACUGGCUCAUUUAUCAUUGCUGUUUUCUCUCUGCAAAAAAACAGUGCUAGGAUCCUGCACCCAUUGAGUGACAGCUCAGCCAAAUCAUCUCAUAAUGUAUUUUUAUUCUCUCCUCUGCCUCAAGCAGGCCUCAGUUAGGUUUCAUGUGAAUUCUCAGUAAUCUGCCCUAAUAUAGGGCCGGCCAGCAACCCACCCAGAGAGGCCAGAUUUCAAAGAGAGCGAUCAGUCGUUUGGUUGUUGGCAUGGGCUGUUGUUAUCAAGGACAGGAAGGUUCCUGUGUCAGCCAGUGCAGGGAAAGACUUGUGGAGCCAGUCUGCCUCUGACCACAUGAAGGGAAAACAACACUCGAAUGAUUAACUUGCUGGCGGGUUUGUUAUUAUGCUCUUACAGAACAAUAUUUACCAAGAACACCGGGUGCAGAGUGUCAAUCAGAACGUAAUGGCCUCUGCUCUCCAAGCUGGUAAGGAAGAGGAAGUUUGCUUGGACUCCUGGACACAGGUGCUAAUCACCCACUUGGUUCCAAGUGUAGAGGAGGUGAGUGUGCACACUUGCCAGAGCCCAGGUUCUAUACAUUUUUUAAAAUAUAGGAAUGAAUGAGUAGGAAACAACAGGAAAAGGGGAAAAUAAGAGAUAUUCAAAAACCUUGUUUCCUAAACAAAUUCAAGAAGAACCUUUAAUCUUAGAGGAGAGGGAAUAAACAGGCUUAAAAAAAAAAAGAAACAGAGGCCAAGUGAACUGUCCAGCCCAAAGUUUGACGUUUGUUUUCCUUCUCCCCUGUGCUCUUCCUAGGGUGGCAGGCUUUUAGACACAGAAAGACAUGUAGACUGUUUCCUUUUUUUUUUUUUUUUCAUUAGACUGUUUCCUUUUCUAAGGAAUAAACCACAAUUUAAAAUCUUUCUUUUGUUUAUAGGCUUUUAAGAGAAAGUUGACCUUAGUGAGUUAUUUAUGAUGAAUAUUUUUAUUAUCAGUAGA